This 22-nucleotide ribosomal RNA is filed under the name Gnetum gnemon. Its description in RNAcentral is "partial 18S ribosomal RNA". The record is from RNAcentral. Lineage: Eukaryota; Viridiplantae; Streptophyta; Gnetopsida; Gnetales; Gnetaceae.
GGGACCUGCGGUAGGAUCAUUG